AUGUACAGCCUUCCCCCCUGGUUGCGCAUGAAGAGGAAGUACAUUCACAUGAGUAUGCUAAUUGAAGGGCCGAAACAACCAGGGAACGACAUCAAUCUGUAUCUAGGGCUGCUGAAGGAGGAGCUAGACAUGCUGUGGAAAACGCCAGCCAAUACAUGGGACGCCGCAGAGAAAGAAUAUUUCCCUAUGAGAGCCUCACUGCUCACGACGGUGCACGACUAUAUCGGUUACGAAUAUCUCGUGGGGAAGGUAGUCCACGGAUUUUCUGGAUGCAUAAGGUGCAUGGAUGACACAAUGUAUCGCCAGCUAGAUAGAGAUCCCGGGUCUUCGAAAACCGUGUUCAUGGGACAUCGAAGGUGGCUUCGCGACGAUGACCCGUGGAGGAAAUGCAAGGAUCUGUUCGAUGGUGAAAACGAACCCCGAAAACGCCCGUGUACGAGGAGCGGCGAGGAAAUAGACGAGCUGUUGAAAAAUUGGAAAGACUGCCCACUGCCUGGAAAGAAGCAAAAGGCGCCAGAUCCGGGAAAAAAGCGAAAGGCGCCAGAGCCGCUGCUGAAGGUAUGGAAAAUGAGGUCUGUUUUCUGGGACUUGCCGUACUGGAAGGUCCACCAUGUGCCUCACAGCCUUGAUGUCAUGCAUAUCACGAAGAACAUGUGCGAGAGUAUGCUUGGUACCCUGCUCAACAUGCCAGAGAGGACCAAAGAUGGACCGAAAGCAAGGGCAGACUUGAAAUCAAUGGGCAUCAGGCAGGAGCUUCACGCUAAUGAUGAUGAUGAUGAUGAGGCGAAGCAGGACACAGAAAGUCGUCGCAAAGGCAAAAAGGCCAAGAAGACCGGAAAUGACUACCCUCCCGCGUGCUUCACUCUAAGUCAGGAGGAGAUCGAGCAGUUUUUCACCUGCCUCCUAGGAGUAAAACUUCCAUACGGUUACGCGGGGAAGAUAAGCAGAUACCUAGACCCAGCGAAGCAGAAGUUCAGCGGGAUGAAGUCUCACGACUGUCACGUGCUGAUGAUGCAGAUACUUCCAGUUGCAAUCCGUGGGAUCAUGGACGCGCACGUCCGUGAAACGCUAUUUGGCCUAUGCUACUUUUUUGACGUCAUCUCUCGGAAGUCGAUCGGCGUGAGGCAACUCAGAAGGCUACAGGAAGAGAUUGUGGUGAUACUAUGUGAGCUUGAGAUGUACUUCCCGCCUGCAUUCUUCGACGUUAUGGUGCAUCUGCUGGUCCAUAUCGUGGAGGAUAUCAUCCAACUCGGGCCGACGUUCCUGCACAGCAUGAUGCCGUUCGAAAGGAUGAAUGGUGUGACACUCCAAAUUUUUUGUGGUUUUUGUUUUCAGAAAGAGCCUUGCUUGGUUUGA
This 1356-nucleotide ribosomal RNA is filed under the name Triticum aestivum (bread wheat). RNAcentral's name for it is "partial small subunit ribosomal RNA". Lineage: Eukaryota; Viridiplantae; Streptophyta; Magnoliopsida; Poales; Poaceae. The record is from RNAcentral.